GCCAAUAUGAUCAUAAACAGAAAUACAAAUACAAGUGUCAGUAUUUGACUAUAAGACAAUUCAGAAUAGGCUUAUGUUACAAUUUGUAAGUCAUUAAACUGAAAACAUAAAAUUUCAAAAUCCUCCUGGAGACCCCUGCCCCGGAAAAUACAGCUUUUGAUCCCAGUUUUCCCAUGAAUGCGUUCCUCUUCGUUACAAGAAGUAGUAAACCCAGCUGUUCAUCUUCAGGUGUGUUUCCGGUGGACUCUCUGGAGAGCAUGUAUCCCACCUUUGCUCCAGGGCUACGGCUGUAUGUGCACCUCGAGUGUUUCAUUACAGCAAUCCUGUAAGAUUGUUAUGCCUACUUGACAGAUAAAGAAACGGAGGUUCAUAGGGACUAAAUAAUUUGCCCAAGGUUACACCAACAGGAAAAGCCAGUGACCAGUCCAGACCCGGCGAACUCUGUCAAGAGCACUCUCUCUCCUGCACCUUCCAUGGGCCUCCCCACCCUGUCCCCGUCUUCUGCGUUUCUCGGGCCACCUGCUCAGCCCACCGGCGUGCUACAGGGAGCUGCACUCUAAAACGUUACUUCUGCAACAAAUCUCCCGUGUACUUCUGUGAAAAACGAUAUUCCGACCCAGGAACGCUCUCUAACCGCAGAGUCCUUGAACUAGACCUGGACUGCGCGCCGAUCCGCAGGGGCCUCCUGGGGGGGGCGGGUUCACAAGAGUGACAUUGGAGCGGACCAAUCCCCGUGGAGGCGCCGGCAAAGGGCCCAAUCACAGGAGAGCCAGGGAGGAUGGUGACAACCCAGGCGGCCGGGGACCCGCACCCCAGAGGCCCGCCUCCUGGACCCGCGGGGAUGCUCGGCUGGCGGGGGCUGAGUCACGGAGGAGCGCAGGCCGGGCCGCGGAGCCAGGGAGCAGCUGCCCCGCGCGCAGGCACCGCCGGGGCUCACCGGGGCCGAGGCCGCAGGGACAAGCAGGAGCCGAGCCAGUGCUGCGCCGUGAACCGCCGCCGUUGUCACUCUGGACGCGGAACGGA
This 1023-nucleotide long non-coding RNA is filed under the name Camelus dromedarius (Arabian camel). Its description in RNAcentral is "lncRNA (ENSCDRG00005004844.1)". Lineage: Eukaryota; Metazoa; Chordata; Mammalia; Artiodactyla; Camelidae. The record is from RNAcentral.